RNAcentral lists this ribosomal RNA (484 nucleotides) under uncultured bacterium. Its description in RNAcentral is "partial 16S ribosomal RNA". It matches the Rfam family "Bacterial small subunit ribosomal RNA", at positions 30 to 507 of the family's 1533-position model. The record is from RNAcentral.
AUUGAACGCUGGCGGCAGGCCUAACACAUGCAAGUCGAGCGGAUGAAGGGAGCUUGCUCCUGGAUUCAGCGGCGGACGGGUGAGUAAUGCCUAGGAAUCUGCCUGGUAGUGGGGGAUAACGUCCGGAAACGGGCGCUAAUACCGCAUACGUCCUGCGGGAGAAAGUGGGGGAUCUUCGGACCUCACGCUAUCAGAUGAGCCUAGGUCGGAUUAGCUAGUUGGUGGGGUAAAGGCCUACCAAGGCGACGAUCCGUAACUGGUCUGAGAGGAUGAUCAGUCACACUGGAACUGAGACACGGUCCAGACUCCUACGGGAGGCAGCAGUGGGGAAUAUUGGAAAAUGGGCGAAAGCCUGAUCAAGCCAUGCCGCGUGUGUGAAGAAGGUCUUCGGAUUGUAAAGCACUUUAAGUUGGGAGGAAGGGCAGUAAGUUAAUACCUUGCUGUUUUGACGUUACCAACAGAAUAAGCACCGGCUAACUUCGUG